Molecule: long non-coding RNA, 1146 nt
Filed under: Citrus x clementina
Lineage: Eukaryota; Viridiplantae; Streptophyta; Magnoliopsida; Sapindales; Rutaceae
Description: Citrus clementina (C. clementina) long non-coding RNA (CCLE_LNC002220)
Source: RNAcentral
GGCCUAUUUUUGGCAAACGGAGGCCCCUCGCAAAGUCUCGCGGCAUUCCGAGUCCGGCGGACGAAGGUGGCCAGCCCCCCCCCCCAAGGGUAUAGCCCACCCGUUUUUGUGGGCUUUCUCCGCUGGACGAACUUGGCGCCCAGGCCUUUGGGCGGUUAUUUUUGGGCGCGGCUUUGCCCGCGGCCUACGUUUGGGACACGGAGGCCCCUCGCAAAGUCUCGCGGCAUUCCGAGUCCGGGGGUCGAAGUGGGCCAACCCCACCCCCCAAGGGUAUAGCCCACCAGUUUUUGUGGGCUUUUUCCGCUGGACGAACUUGGCGCCCAGGCCUUCGGGCAGUUAUUUUUGGACGCGGCUUUGCCCGCGGCCUAUUUUUGGCACAUGGAGGCCCCUCAAAAAGUCUCGCGGCGUUCCGAGUCUGGUGGACGAAGUUGGCCAGCCCCACCCCCCAGGCUAUAGCCCACCCGUUUUUGUGGCCUUUUUCCGCUGGACGAACUUGGCGCCCCGGUCUUCGGGCGGUUAUUUUUGGGCGCGGCUGUGCCCACGGCCUAUUUUUGGCACACGGAGGCGCCUCGGAGAGUCUCGCGCCAUUCCGAGUCCGGCGGACGAAGUUGGCCAGCCCCACCCCCCAAGGCUAUAGCCCACCCGUUUUUGGGGCCUUUUUCCGCUGGAAGAACUUGGCGCCCCGGCCUUCGGGCGGUUAUUUUUGGGCGCGGCUGUGCCCACGGCCUAUUUUUGGCACACGGAGGCGCCUCGGAGAGUCUCGCGCCAUUCCGAGUCCGGCGGACGAAGUUGGCCAGCCCCACCCCCCAAGGCUAUAGCCCACCCGUUUUUGGGGCCUUUUUCCGCUGGACGAACUUGGCGCCCCGGCCUUCGGGCGGUUAUUUUUUGGGCGCGGCUGUGCCCACCGCCUAUUUUUGGCACACGGAGGCGCCUCGGAGAGUCUCGCGCCAUUCCGAGUCCGGCGGACGAAGUUGGCCAGCCCCACCCCCCAAGGCUAUAGCCCACCCGUUUUUGUGGCCUUUUUCCGCUGGACGAACUUGGCGCCCCGGCCUUCGGGCGGUUAUUUUUGGGCGCGGCUGUGCCCGCGGCCUAUUUUUGGCACACGGAGUCGCCUCGCAAAGUAUCGCGCCAUUCCGAGUCCGGCGG